GGGCCUACGGGGGGCAGCAGUAGGGAAUUUUCGUCAAUGGGCGCAAGCCUGAACGAGCAAUGCCGCGUGAGUGAGGAAGGUCUUCGGAUCGUAAAGCUCUGUUGCGGGGGAAAAAGGACAGGAAGAGGAAAUGCUUUCUGUUUGAUGGUACCCCGCCAGAAAGUCACGGCUAACUACGUGCCAGCAGCCGCGGUAAUACGUAGGUGGCGAGCGUUAUCCGGAUUUAUUGGGCGUAAAGGGCUCGUAGGCGGUUCG
RNAcentral lists this ribosomal RNA (255 nucleotides) under uncultured bacterium. Its description in RNAcentral is "partial 16S ribosomal RNA". It matches the Rfam family "Bacterial small subunit ribosomal RNA", at positions 335 to 582 of the family's 1533-position model. The record is from RNAcentral.